This 330-nucleotide ribosomal RNA is filed under the name uncultured Mycobacterium sp. Its description in RNAcentral is "bacterial SSU rRNA". It matches the Rfam family "Bacterial small subunit ribosomal RNA", at positions 557 to 884 of the family's 1533-position model. The record is from RNAcentral. Lineage: Bacteria; Bacillati; Actinomycetota; Actinomycetes; Mycobacteriales; Mycobacteriaceae.
GGCGUAAAGAGCUCGUAGGUGGUUUGUCGCGUUGUUCGUGAAAUCUCACGGCUUAACUGUGAGCGUGCGGGCGAUACGGGCAGACUAGAGUACUGCAGGGGAGACUGGAAUUCCUGGUGUAGCGGUGGAAUGCGCAGAUAUCAGGAGGAACACCGGUGGCGAAGGCGGGUCUCUGGGCAGUAACUGACGCUGAGGAGCGAAAGCGUGGGAAGCGAACAGGAUUAGAUACCCUGGUAGUCCACGCCGUAAACGGUGGGUACUAGGUGUGGGUUUCCUUCCUUGGGAUCCGUGCCGUAGCUAACGCAUUAAGUACCCCGCCUGGGGAGUACG